CAACUUCAUGUCAAGAAAGUUCAAGAAAGGACUUGUUUGUUCCCAGGACUUAAAAAUGAAACUGAUAUAUUGAUUAUGAAUAAAGAUUUUAAGAACAUGUUAUUGUGUACAGAAAGAAGAACAGAUUGAAAUGUUUGAAUCAAUCCUGAUGUAAAAGAAAGAAGAAUAUAAAAUUUUCCAUCUUUAGUUGAAGAAAAAACGAUAAUUCAAAUGGAGAUAGCUCCAAGAAAUAGUUUCUUGAGAUAUGUAUACCUGUGGGACUGUACUCCAGAAAAAUGAAACUGAAAACUAGCGAAAUCUGAAAAUGUUAAAAGAGUUACGGGUUGCAAUAUUGGAGAUGAAUUUAGAGGGGUUCGGAGCAUGCAUGUGGGGUGGAGGAGAGUGGAUAUAUGAAUAAGAUGGGGGGAAAACCACACUAGAACCCAAGAUGAUUUAUAUGGGGAAGUAGGGACUAAGGAGAUUUGCCUAUUUAAAAAAAAAAUCUCAAAAUUUGCAAAACCAUCGACUCAAUUGGACUGAUAGUUCAUAAUAAAUAUAAUAAAAU
Molecule: long non-coding RNA, 544 nt
Filed under: Olea europaea subsp. europaea
Lineage: Eukaryota; Viridiplantae; Streptophyta; Magnoliopsida; Lamiales; Oleaceae
Source: RNAcentral